GAGUUUGAUCCUGGCUCAGGACGAACGCUGGCGGCGUGCUUAACACAUGCAAGUCGAACGAUGAAGCCUAGCUUGCUAGGUGGAUUAGUGGCGAACGGGUGAGUAAUACGUGAGUGACCUACCUUUGACUCUGGGAUAAGCCUGGGAAACUGGGUCUAAUACCGGAUACGACCAAUCUCCGCAUGGGGUGUUGGUGGAAAGCGUUAUGGAGUGGUUUUAGAUGGGCUCACGGCCUAUCAGCUUGUUGGUGAGGUAAUGGCUUACCAAGGCGACGACGGGUAGCCGGCCUGAGAGGGUGACCGGCCACACUGGGACUGAGACACGGCCCAGACUCCUACGGGAGGCAGCAGUGGGGAAUAUUGCACAAUGGGCGCAAGCCUGAUGCAGCGACGCCGCGUGAGGGAUGACGGCCUUCGGGUUGUAAACCUCUGUUAGCAUCGAAGAAGCGAAAGUGACGGUAGGUGCAGAGAAAGCGCCGGCUAACUACGUGCCAGCAGCCGCGGUAAUACGUAGGGCGCGAGCGUUGUCCGGAAUUAUUGGGCGUAAAGAGCUUGUAGGCGGUUGGUCGCGUCUGCUGUGAAAGGCUGGGGCUUAACCCUGGUUUUGCAGUGGGUACGGGCUAACUAGAGUGCAGUAGGGGAGACUGGAAUUCCUGGUGUAGCGGUGGAAUGCGCAGAUAUCAGGAGGAACACCGAUGGCGAAGGCAGGUCUCUGGGCUGUAACUGACGCUGAGAAGCGAAAGCAUGGGGAGCGAACAGGAUUAGAUACCCUGGUAGUCCAUGCCGUAAACGUUGGGCACUAGGUGUGGGGGACAUUCCACGUUUUCCGCGCCGUAGCUAACGCAUUAAGUGCCCCGCCUGGGGGAGUACGGCCGCAAGGCUAAAACUCAAAGAAAUUGACGGGGGCCCGCACAAGCGGCGGAGCAUGCGGAUUAAUUCGAUGCAACGCGAAGAACCUUACCAAGGCUUGACAUAUACUGGACUGCGUCAGAGAUGGCGUUUCCCUUCGGGGCUGGUAUACAGGUGGUGCAUGGUUGUCGUCAGCUCGUGUCGUGAGAUGUUGGGUUAAGUCCCGCAACGAGCGCAACCCUCGUUCUAUGUUGCCAGCACGUGAUGGUGGGGACUCAUAGGAGACUGCCGGGGUCAACUCGGAGGAAGGUGGGGAUGACGUCAAAUCAUCAUGCCCCUUAUGUCUUGGGCUUCACGCAUGCUACAAUGGCCGGUACAGAGGAUUGCGAUACUGUGAGGUGGAGCUAAUCCCUAAAAGCCGGUCUCAGUUCGGAUUGGGGUCUGCAAACUCGACCCCAUGAAGUCGGAGUCGCUAGUAAUCGCAGAUCAGCAACGCUGCGGUGAAUACGUUCCCGGGCCUUGUACACACCGCCCGUC
This 1385-nucleotide ribosomal RNA is filed under the name uncultured bacterium. RNAcentral describes it as "bacterial SSU rRNA". It matches the Rfam family "Bacterial small subunit ribosomal RNA". The record is from RNAcentral.